GGGAACUUAGCUCAGUUGGUAGAGCAGCGGACUCUUAAUCCGUUUGUCGAGGGUUCGACCCCCUCAGUUCCCACCA
RNAcentral lists this transfer RNA (76 nucleotides) under Rhodoferax sp. RNAcentral describes it as "tRNA-Lys". It matches the Rfam family "tRNA". From Rfam's summary of the family: Transfer RNA (tRNA) molecules are approximately 80 nucleotides in length. Their secondary structure includes four short double-helical elements and three loops (D, anti-codon, and T loops). RNAcentral also lists the same sequence under 3 other names. Lineage: Bacteria; Pseudomonadati; Pseudomonadota; Betaproteobacteria; Burkholderiales; Comamonadaceae. The record is from RNAcentral.